Molecule: long non-coding RNA, 736 nt
Organism: Jatropha curcas
Lineage: Eukaryota; Viridiplantae; Streptophyta; Magnoliopsida; Malpighiales; Euphorbiaceae
Source: RefSeq, a predicted model, not a curated record
UAGUCUCAUUGAAAAGCCUCCUUGUGAAUAAGAAAACGGAGAGGAAGAUCUAGUCCCUCUUUUACAAAUUCUGAUUUAGUGUUUGAGCGUCUUGAUUGCAGAUAAUCUUAAAAGAAGAACCGUGAACUCUAUUUUAAAUCACAAAUCAGAUUUAAGGCAGAUUUGAUGGAGUUGUUCAUUCUUAGCUCCUCUUUAGAUCUAAGGGAUGGUUUCAAGUCAUUUAAAAUUGAUGAUGUCUACAGCCUUGCGAAUAAGUUUUAUUUUGAAGAUUUUUUAGAACAAGGAAGAUUACAUUUAAGAUAUCAAUUGGAACUUUUUGUACUUGAUGUUCUACGUUAUCCUAAGAUGCAAUCGCUAUCAACUAUCUCUAAAUUGUGACAAUAUUUAGCUAAAUCAAAGAAGGCAACUAUUUAUCCUCUUAUUGAUAGGUUGGUUAGACUUGUUUUGACUCUUCUAGCCUCAACAACAACUACUGACCAUGGUUUCUCGGCUAUGAGUCUUAUAAAGAAUAAGCUUCGUAAUAAGAUGGCAUAUGAUUUUCUUGCAAAUUCCUUGAUUAUAUAUAUUGAGAUAGAUAUAGUUGAUACUUUGAGUAUCAAUUUUAUAAUUGAUGAGUUUUACACCACGAAAGAGCGACAGGUGUAGCUCAAGACGCGAGAAGACAUCAAGUAUAAAUAUACAAGAUAAAUUGUAAUCUUAGAUGUCUAUUUGAAUUUUCUUCUAUUUUCUUUUAUUA